This 413-nucleotide ribosomal RNA is filed under the name uncultured bacterium. Its description in RNAcentral is "bacterial SSU rRNA". It matches the Rfam family "Bacterial small subunit ribosomal RNA", at positions 213 to 638 of the family's 1533-position model. The record is from RNAcentral.
UUCCGCCUAAAGAGAAGCUUGCGGCUGAUUAGCUUGUUGGUAAGGUAAUGGCUUACCAAGGCGACGAUCAGUAUCUGGUUUGAGAGGACGAUCAGACACACUGGAACUGAGACACGGUCCAGACUCCUACGGGAGGCAGCAGUGGGGAAUUUUCCGCAAUGGGCGAAAGCCUGACGGAGCAAUACCGCGUGAGGGAUGAAUGCCUAUGGGUUGUAAACCUCUUUUUUCAGGGAGGAACAAAAUGACGUGUACCUGAAGAAUAAGCAUCGGCUAACUCCGUGCCAGCAGCCGCGGUAAGACGGAGGAUGCAAGUGUUAUUCGGAAUCACUGGGCGUAAAGCGUCUGUAGGUGGUUUAAUAAGUCAACUGGUUAAAUCUUGAGGCUCAACCUCGAAACCGCAGUCGAAACUAUUU